Molecule: ribosomal RNA, 422 nt
Filed under: Adenomera hylaedactyla group sp. ABGD cluster 18
Lineage: Eukaryota; Metazoa; Chordata; Amphibia; Anura; Leptodactylidae
Description: partial large subunit ribosomal RNA
Rfam family: Bacterial large subunit ribosomal RNA
Source: RNAcentral
CUUGCCUCAUAUAAGAGGUCUAGCCUGCCCAGUGACAUUUGUUCAACGGCCGCGGUAUCCUAACCGUGCGAAGGUAGCGUAAUCACUUGUUCUUUAAAUGAGGACUAGUAUGAAAGGCAUCACGAGAGUUAUACUGUCUCCUUUCUCUAAUCAGUGAAACUAAUCCCCCCGUGAAGAAGCGGGGAUAAGAAUAUAAGACGAGAAGACCCUAUGGAGCUUUAAACAAAUUAUAUAUGCCCUUUUAGCUUCAAAUUUCAGAAAAAUCUCUUAUCUUGGUAUAAUAACUAAUAGGUUUUUGGUUGGGGUGACCACGGAAUAAAAAACAACUUCCGCAGUGAAAGAUUCUCCCUCACUAAAUUAAGGACUACGGCCCUAAACAUCAAUAAAUUGACAUAAUUGACCCAACAUGUUGAUCAAUGAAC